RNAcentral lists this ribosomal RNA (252 nucleotides) under uncultured bacterium. Its description in RNAcentral is "partial 16S ribosomal RNA". It matches the Rfam family "Bacterial small subunit ribosomal RNA", at positions 524 to 776 of the family's 1533-position model. The record is from RNAcentral.
UACGUAGGGUGCUAGCGUUAUCCGGAUUUACUGGGCGUAAAGGGUGCGUAGGUGGUUUCUUAAGUCAGGAGUGAAAGGCUACGGCUCAACCGUAGUAAGCUCUUGAAACUGGGAAACUUGAGUGCAGGAGAGGAAAGUGGAAUUCCUAGUGUAGCGGUGAAAUGCGUAGAUAUUAGGAGGAACACCAGUAGCGAAGGCGGCUUUCUGGACUGUAACUGACACUGAGGCACGAAAGCGUGGGGAGCAAACAGG